Molecule: long non-coding RNA, 700 nt
Filed under: Dermacentor andersoni
Lineage: Eukaryota; Metazoa; Arthropoda; Arachnida; Ixodida; Ixodidae
Description: uncharacterized LOC126543963
Source: RNAcentral
CUGCACACUGAAAAUAUUCACCUGUUAGGGUAAAUGGCGGGAUUUUUAACAUCCCACUGAGGGAUCUUGAUCUCAGUGUUCCUGUAUAGGACCCGACAUCUGGGCUACCAGAGUCGCCUUGCAGUUCAAAAACGAAUCGGCGACCUCGACAGCUACUGGCCCAUAGCAACUGGUCAUUAGGUAAGCUGAAAGUUUUAAACAGUACUGAAGUUGUUUCAAAUAAAAGUGUAGCGGGAAGUUAUUAGCAAAGAAUUUUAGCCACAUUCAACGGCUGCACGAGUGACGAAACAGCGGUUUCGCUUUUGUAUUUUAGGAGCUAUAAUCGUAACGCCGCUCAACAGUGUUUAUGUACACAAUCAAGGAACGAAUUAUGACAACCGCUCAGAAAAGUUAGUGAACUUCUUUUUCUAACACGAGAUAUGGAAAUACGAAAGUAUGCUGCAUGCGUUGAACACUGCGAAAAACGCCUAAAAAACUAAGGUGCAGCCAUAAUGAACAACACCAGCUAUUCUUAAAACUUCUCAAGUCACACUCCUGUAGGCACCACAGGUCAACAAACCUGAAUCUCAUUCAUUAUUGCAGUUUCCAAUCCACACGUCGUUUCCUUACCGUUUCUUCCACGCUGCUGUAAUACUUUCGAGAUCUUCGUUUCCAAUAGUAGCGCAGAGUUAAGCACGUUGCCACACCCACAAUAACGCAG